GGGAAUUUCCGGUGGAGCGGUGAAAUGCGCAGAGAUCGGAAAGAACACCAACGGCGAAAGCAC
This 63-nucleotide small RNA is filed under the name Helianthus annuus (common sunflower). RNAcentral describes it as "Bacterial small subunit ribosomal RNA". The record is from RNAcentral. Lineage: Eukaryota; Viridiplantae; Streptophyta; Magnoliopsida; Asterales; Asteraceae.